Molecule: ribosomal RNA, 1140 nt
Organism: Pseudobutyrivibrio ruminis
Lineage: Bacteria; Bacillati; Bacillota; Clostridia; Lachnospirales; Lachnospiraceae
Rfam family: Bacterial large subunit ribosomal RNA
Source: Rfam
AUAGGCUCAAGCAACUGUUUAGCAAAAACACAGGUCUAUGCGAAACCGUAAGGUGAUGUAUAUGGGCUGACGCCUGCCCGGUGCUGGAAGGUUAAGAGGAGAGGUUAGCGCAAGCGAAGCUUUGAAUUUAAGCCCCAGUAAACGGCGGCCGUAACUAUAACGGUCCUAAGGUAGCGAAAUUCCUUGUCGGGUAAGUUCCGACCCGCACGAAAGGCGUAAUGAUUUGAGCACUGUCUCGACAAUGCAUCCGGUGAAAUUGAAGUACCAGUGAAGAUGCUGGUUACCCGCGCCAGGACGGAAAGACCCCAUGGAGCUUUACUCCAGUUUGGUACUGGGAUUCGGUACUGCAUGUACAGGAUAGGUGGGAGACUAAGAUUAUGGGACGCUAGUUUCAUAUGAGUCACUGUUGGGAUACCACCCUUGUAGUAUUGGAUUUCUAACCAGCCGCCGUGAUCCGGUGGUGGGACAAUGCCAGGCGGGGAGUUUGACUGGGGCGGUCGCCUCCGAAAGGGUAUCGGAGGCGCUCAAAGGUUCCCUCAGAAUGGUCGGAAACCAUUUGAAGAGUGCAAAGGCAGAAGGGAGCUUGACUGCGACACCGACGGGUGGAGCAGGUACGAAAGUAGGACUUAGUGAUCCGGUGGUAUAAAGUGGGAUUGCCAUCGCUCAACGGAUAAAAGCUACCCUGGGGAUAACAGGCUUAUCACUCCCAAGAGUUCACAUCGACGGAGUGGUUUGGCACCUCGAUGUCGGCUCAUCGCAUCCUGGGGCUGUAGCAGGUCCCAAGGGUUGGGCUGUUCGCCCAUUAAAGCGGUACGCGAGCUGGGUUCAGAACGUCGUGAGACAGUUCGGUCCCUAUCCGGCGCGGGCGUAGGAUAUUUGAGAGGAGCUGCCCCUAGUACGAGAGGACCGGGGUGGACGGACCACUGGUGUAUCAGCUGUCGACCAACGGCAUAGCUGAGUAGCCAAGUCUGGACGGGAUAAACGCUGAAGGCAUCUAAGCGUGAAGCCCCCCUCAAGAUGAGAUAUCCCAUUCCUUCAAGGAAAUAAGAUCCCUUAUAGACGAUAAGGUAGAUAGGUUCAAGGUGUAAGUGCGGUAACGCAUUCAGCUGAUGAAUACUAAUAGAUCGAAGGUUUAUUCUA